Molecule: ribosomal RNA, 252 nt
Filed under: uncultured bacterium
Lineage: Bacteria
Description: partial 16S ribosomal RNA
Rfam family: Bacterial small subunit ribosomal RNA
Source: RNAcentral
UACGAACUGUGCAAACGUUAUUCGGAAUCACUGGGCUUAAAGGGUGCGUAGGCGGCUUGUCAAGUAGGGUGUGAAAGCCCCCGGCUUAACCGGGAAUUGCGCCCUAAACUGACGAGCUGGAGUGGGACAGGGGUGUGUGGAACUUCCGGUGGAGCGGUGAAAUGUGUUGAUAUCGGAAGGAACGCCGGUGGCGAAAGCGACACACUGGGUCUCAACUGACGCUGAGGCACGAAAGCCAGGGGAGCGAACGGG